Molecule: long non-coding RNA, 1029 nt
Filed under: Capra hircus (goat)
Lineage: Eukaryota; Metazoa; Chordata; Mammalia; Artiodactyla; Bovidae
Description: lncRNA (ENSCHIG00010032520.1)
Source: RNAcentral
UCAUACCUGGACCCUGAUUUAUUUCUUGGGAUUCCAGACAACAUGCUGUCCUAGUCUUUAACCUUUCAGUUUCUUCUCCCUUUUGCUGACUACUUGAAAUUUUAUUUCCUUUUCUGUGCACAGGAAAGCUGCUUUGAUGUCAUAACUUGCAUCCUUUCUACCUUGUGUCUUACAGUAAAAUUCUAUUCUCAGAAUUGAAAACCCUGUGUCAAUAGGAAAAAGAAAAAUUGUAGGAUUAAAAAAAAAUUGGUUUCCCUGAAAGUAAAGUCAAUUAUCUUAGUUGUAUUCAAGUAUAAUCUAAAACUUAGUUGGCUCCUUCUAAGUAAUUAGUAUNNNNNNNNNNNNNUAUUUCUAUUUUAAUUUUAAAUUAAUUUUUAUUGGCAUAUAGUUGAUUUACAAUCUGGUUAGUUCCAGGUGUACAGCAAAGUGAAUGUGUCAACUUUUUUAGGUCAUAGAGCAUAUGCAUUCUUGACGUGCAACUCAGAUCAACUUAUUUUUUUAAAAAAGAAACAGAUCCAUUUAACAAUGUGAUCUAAAAUUCAUUUCUGAAUCUUCAAGAAGGUCUUCUUAAAAUGAAUAAUACUUUCUAGGAAAUGUAUCCAUUAUUAUAAUUGCCUUUCUUAGGAUCACAAUUUCAAGGGUUAAGGGUUCUGUUGGUUUUUCCUCUGUGUAAGAGCUUGUGGCCAGAAGUUUCUGUCACAUAGGACUGAAGAAUAAAUCUUAGGUGAAAGUUUAACUUUUUUUUCUUUUAAUGCUCAGGACACUUCUAAUAGACCUAAUUUUUUCCAAAGCAGUUUCCUAGUAACAUAGGAUUUGGUAGUGAGAAAUUCCAAAUUUGUUUUACUUAUAGCUCCCAUAUGCUUUUUUCCCUUUGUUUGUUUGUUUGUUUUUUCUAAAUUAUUUAUUUUGGCGAUACUGGGUCUUAGUUUUGGCAUGUGAAGUCUUUGUUGGGGGAUUUGGGAUCUAGUUCCCUGACCAGGGAUUCUAACCCUGGGCCCCCUGCAUUGGGUGGGUGGAGUUUUAGUCAAU